Molecule: ribosomal RNA, 621 nt
Filed under: uncultured Leuconostoc sp.
Lineage: Bacteria; Bacillati; Bacillota; Bacilli; Lactobacillales; Lactobacillaceae
Description: bacterial SSU rRNA
Rfam family: Bacterial small subunit ribosomal RNA
Source: RNAcentral
CCUUUCAAGUGAGUGGCGAACGGGUGAGCUACACGUGGAUAACCUACCUCAAGGUUGGGGAUAACAUUUGGAAACAGAUGCUAAUACCGAAUAAAACUUAGUAUCGCAUGAUACCAGGUUAAAAGGCGCUACGGCGUCACCUAGAGACGGAUCCGCGGUGCAUUAGUUAGUUGGUGGGGUAAAGGCUUACCAAGACAAUGAUGCAUAGCCGAGUUGAGAGACUGAUCGGCCACAUUGGGACUGAGACACGGCCCAAACUCCUACGGGAGGCUGCGGUAGGGAAUCUUCCACAAUGGGCGAAAGCCUGAUGGAGCAACGCCGCGUGUGUGAUGAAGGCUUUCGGGUCGUAAAGCACUGUUGUAUGGGAAGAACAGCUAGAGUAGGGAAUGACUUUAGUUUGACGGUACCAUACCAGAAAGGGACGGCUAAAUACGUGCCAGCAGCCGCGGUAAUACGUAUGUCCCGAGCGUUAUCCGGAUUUAUUGGGCGUAAAGCGAGCGCAGACGGUUAAUUAAGUCUGAUGUGAAAGCCCGGAGCUCAACUCCGGAAAGGCAUUGGAAACUGGUUAACUUGAGUGCAGUAGAGGUAAGUGGAACUCCAUGUGUAGCGGUGGAAUGCGUA